Ostrinia furnacalis (Asian corn borer) is the source of this 120-nucleotide long non-coding RNA. RefSeq lists it as uncharacterized. The record is from RefSeq and is a predicted model, not a curated record. Lineage: Eukaryota; Metazoa; Arthropoda; Insecta; Lepidoptera; Crambidae. The transcript is spliced from 2 exons.
AGGUGAUCCCAGGUGUGCCAAGCUCGCGGCAACCCUAACAAAGAUCUACAAACGUGGCGCACCAUGGUCCCGAACCUCUAAACAAUACAUAUCAAAACAUGCACUGAAAACGCCAUUAGU